RNAcentral lists this ribosomal RNA (454 nucleotides) under uncultured bacterium. RNAcentral describes it as "bacterial SSU rRNA". It matches the Rfam family "Bacterial small subunit ribosomal RNA", at positions 329 to 793 of the family's 1533-position model. The record is from RNAcentral.
UCCCAGACUCCUACGGGAGGCAGCAGUAGGGAAUUUUCGGCAAUGGGGGGAACCCUGACCGAGCAACGCCGCGUGAACGAAGAAGUUAUUCGUAAUGUAAAGUUCUUUUAUCAGGGAAGAAAGAGGAAUUUGACGGUACCUGAGGAAUAAGCUCCGGCUAACUACGUGCCAGCAGCCGCGGUAAUACGUAGGUGGCAAGCGUUGUCCGGAUUUACUGGGUGUAAAGGGCGUGCAGCCGGGCUGACAAGUCAGAUGUGAAAUCCCGCGGCUCAACCGCGGAACUGCAUUUGAAACUGUCAGUCUUGAGUACCGGAGAGGUCAUCGGAAUUCCUUGUGUAGCGGUGAAAUGCGUAGAUAUAAGGAAGAACACCAGUGGCGAAGGCGGAUGACUGGACGGCAACUGACGGUGAGGCGCGAAAGCGUGGGGAGCAAACAGGAUUAGAUACCCUCGUAC